CAUCAACGCAGCGACGGAAGGCAACCCUGCCAAAAAUCUCCCCAGAGUUCUAGUGAAUAUAAGGGCCAAUUCCAGAACUCCUGAGGAUGUUAAGAGAUUGGAGAAGCACUUCACAAAGGCCGAACUGAAGAAAGAGGGAAAAUAUCAGGUAGGAAUCUUCUGCGCCGAUCUGCCCGUGCUCUUCCCCUCCCGUCGCCGCGUCCCGCACGAAGCGGGAGUUCUCCAGGGCAGCAGCAGCCGAGCCCUCUCACCCGGACACAGAUUCUGUAGGCGCUCACAGCCCUUUGGUCCCUACUGCUUGUCUGGUUGUGAGUAAAAAUCCAGAGAAAGACAGUUGUCAGCUGAGUGAGCUAUUGACAAUGCAGGUGAGUAGAAAAUUCUUCAACUGAAAUUGCAUCUCUAUUGCCAGCAGAUGAUGAAGUUUC
Molecule: long non-coding RNA, 425 nt
Filed under: Dasypus novemcinctus (nine-banded armadillo)
Lineage: Eukaryota; Metazoa; Chordata; Mammalia; Cingulata; Dasypodidae
Description: lncRNA (ENSDNOG00000051800.1)
Source: RNAcentral